AACCCUUCUCUUCCGCGGCCUUUUCUCUCCUUCUCAGACAGGUCUCCAAAUCAGAUUACUGAACGAACCCUAAUCGCAUUUUUGUUCAUAAUUUCUGAACAAAAACCUACAUUAUUUUCAUCCGGUCGAAACUCAGAUUACUCUAUUAGUAGUAGUAGACAUAAAAAACCCUUACAAUCUCUUUAUUCUUCAUACAAUUAGAACAUUAGUAACAAAAAAUUCUUCUUCUCAUCAUCAUCAUCAUCAUUUUCUUCAGCUCGUAAACGUCGUUUCAGUGGUAUUGUGAUUAGAGCAGUUGCUGACUAUUAUUCAACACUUGGUGUUCCAAAAUCUGCUACAAGUAAAGAUAUUAAAGCCGCUUACAGAAGAUUAGCCCGUCAGAUUUGUGGUUUUAUACUGAAGAAGGAACCCUUGUUCAAGGUGGAUAUCAUGUAUACAAGGCCAGAAGAGAGGACCCUAUAUGUGGGAAUAAUUGCUAUUUUGAGGUUCACAUGGAUGGUUUGUAUCGGCGCAGGUAUGAGGAUGAUACUUUUUAUUUUGAUCGGGUUUAUUCGUUUCAAUAAGCAGCAAAUGUUGAAGGGUAUUUCCUUAGUAGCAAAAUGGUUGAUUAGAAGUUUUAAAAUGCUAGUUUUUCUUAGAUUUUAUGUUGAAUCUAAUUUUUGUAGCUUCCUUGUAUAACUGUUAUUGAAUAAUUUAAUUGUCAAGAAAUUACUUAAUUUGGUUUUGGUUCUCGCUAUGGUUGGUUGUAAUGCUACUUGAGCAGUCGCGCGAGCAAAAAAAAUAAUCCUUGUACUGCUCUUCGAUUAUGAAAAGAAUAUAUAUUCAUCUACUUCGUUCAAGUCUGUAACUUCUUCUGCUCCAUAUAGAUAAGCUCGCAUCUCUAAUGAUUAACCUGAUUCUGAUUUUAUAAGCAACUACAUAUAUAUGCUGCACACACACAGUAACUUGUUCUAUACUUGUAUAUCAAUAAGGACUUGAAUCUGAGUAAUGUGGAGGACAAUGGGAUAUCUGAGGUAGAAAGAGCUAUUGGGUGACCUUGCUGCUUCUUCCAUCGUCAUAGAUGAUUGAUUCCUAUUGGCUUAGACAAGGCUUUCAGCGCGUUCGGAGGUAAAACAUCCACAUCUUUGCAGCGAGUCGCUGCUGGUCGCUUUGUAUGAUAUUAGGCUUUAGUAUAGUAGGCAAUACUCAAUAGUAAUGCACUCUUUUAUCUUUUGAGCUUUGAACAAUUGAACUCUGUUCCUUUUUACUGUUAGCUUUAUCAAUUUUGGAGUUUGCAACUU
This is a long non-coding RNA of Papaver somniferum (opium poppy), 1280 nucleotides long. RefSeq lists it as uncharacterized. NCBI's taxonomy places the organism in Eukaryota, Viridiplantae, Streptophyta, Magnoliopsida, Ranunculales, Papaveraceae. The record is from RefSeq and is a predicted model, not a curated record. The transcript has 4 exons.